GCGCCGAGCCCGCCCGCGGGCCUGGCCGGGCCGGGCCGCAGCCGCGCGCUCCCAGCCCCGCACGCCCCGGGCCGCUGCUCUGCUCCGGGGAAGCUGACCAGGCCGCCAGCCUCCUGGGCCUUUAGUUGCGGCCAUUGCUUCCCGGCCUGCGCGCUCCCUCGCCCCAGAGUAAGACGUCGGGACCCCAGGAGGUGAGGACAGGCCAGUCACCCUCCCCUCCCAGGGAGGCCAGGCAGGUAGGAGGCAACGAGGCUCAGUCGCUGAGGAUGGGGUCUCCGAGCACCUGGGCGAGCACCUGGGCGUGUGGUCCCUGGGCUGGCCUGGGGCUGGGGUUCUGGGGGAAGGUGGGCAGGGGGGUGGAGUGGAAGGGGUUGCAUGGCUGGCUUCCUGUGCAGACCUGCAGCUGGUUCUAACAUGAGCAGAUACAUAUUAAACAGACAUCCCAUCCCGGGGGCCUGUUCAAGGGGAGGGGAGGAGGGGAGCCAGUCUUUUGACGCCCCCCCCCCCCCCCCCCCCCACGAGGAAGUUCUGUUUCCCUCUCUUCGUUCAUCUUUGCAGUUUUAUGUUUCAGACGUCCCUGCUCACAGUCUGGGUGUCGCAGGUUCUGCUCGGGGUCCCUGGGCCCAUGUGGCCAGAGCCUGCCUGGUGGCAGAGGCAGAUGGAAAGAAGACACAGUGGCCAUCUGUCUGUACAUCCCCAUUGGCCUCAUUGGCCUCCACCCAGAUGCCUCUGGGGGGAACUGGGGUUCGUUUCCCGUCUAGUAUGUUCCAGAGGUUUGACAGGAUGAAAGCCAGAGGCUUUUUCUCACAGGGAAUAAGAAGCGGGCAGGGGGGUGGCAGGGGGAGAAUUUCUAAUCUUGCCAGUCUGGGGAAUUUGGGGGCCAGGUGUCAGGAAACCCAUUAAAGCAUCAUUGUAAUGCCUUAGUGAGUUGUUUUAAUAAAUCACAUCUUUUCGCUGUAAGAGUAAUACUCGUUCAUUAGAGUUUGAGAAAGUGAAUCUAAUUAAUAACCUAACUACGUGGAGAUGUGGACUAUAACUGUCUUGGCGUGUUUUUUUUCCCAGUUUUUAAAUAGUGCUGUGAUGAACAUUUCUGACGAUAUUAUAGCCACCCCCCACCCCUUAUCCGCAGGGGACACGCUCCAAGACCCCCAUUGGCCUCCUGAAACCAUGGGCAUUGCGGACCCACACGCAGGCUGUUCACUCCGGUACAUACACACCUGUGAUUAAGCUUGGCUGGUAAACUAGGCCGAGGUCGAGAGUGAUGAUAACAUAAUAAAAUAGCCUGGUAGUAACGGCAUGCCGUGCUGUGGUUACGUGGCUGUGGUCUUGCUCUCCUGUCGCCCUGUGCUCACCCCUCUAGGAUGCCGAGGGGUACAGGCGUGGGGUGCCAUUGGGGGGCUGCUGCUGGCCUGAGCGUCUGGCAGAAGCGCCUGCUUCUGGACCGUGGCCACCGCAGGAACGGAGGUGGGGGGCUGCUUGGAAGUGUCCUUGGAAGUGGCCUGAGUGUGUCGUCCGGGUAAAUUCCUCAAACAGGCACUACUGAGCCAAAGACUACCACACAUUUUGCCACGGGGCCCUCUGGAGGCUCUGAUUGAUGUGGUGUCCCACGCCCUGUCCCCACAUCCCCCUGUCUCUUACAGGCCACACUGUGCAUUCCGGUUCAGGCUGACUCGAGGAAUGGGCCUUUCUUUGCUUUGAUUUUCAUGCCUUUGACUAUUGGUGAUGUUGGACAUCUUUUGAUUUUGCUGGCAGCCGUUUGGAAGGUUGCCUGUAUGAGUUCUUACGCAUUUUCUUAUUUCCUCUCUUUUUUGUACUCUAGAGCUCUACUCAAGGGCUUAGCUCCUCUCAACGAUGUACUCAUGUGCAUCACAUCAAUUUUUCAGCUCGUCUUUUUAACUUUGGAAUUCACCUUUUGUUUGUGAUGCAUAGAUUUUAAAUCUGUCAGGUUUCCUGAUAUGGAUUCUAGCUUUGGGGAAAAGUCUAGGGUAGCUUUCACCACGCCAAGAUUUCAUAAGCCUUCCCCAGUUCAGUGGCUAGAUUUCCAAAUAAGAGAACUAGAUAAGACACGAGGGGGACGAGAGUUCACCUGAGGAAAUCAGAGGCCAAAGUGUGUGGUGUGGAAGAAACAGUCUCUUCCAAGGAAGGGUGCUUUCUCCACUUCUGUCCAAAGGCACGACCUUCAGAUAGAUAUAUAUGAGCCCCUCCCUCACACACACACACUCACAGAUGCAUACAUGCACACACAUGCACGCACCCACAAACACACACAUGCACACAACAGAGGCAUGCAUGCAUGCACCCCCCACAUACAUGCACAUGCACGCAUGCACGUACAAAUGCACACACACGCACAUACACGCACUUAAAGGCGCACACACACACACAUGCAUGCACACCCACACAUAUUUUUAACUUUUGGAAACCUUAUCUCUUGCAUAUUGUAGGAUCUUCAUGGGAAGAACAAGAAGCAACAUCUGUUUUUCAUCAAAACUCUCCUGUCAAGACUCCUGGAUGGCUCAGUUGGUCAAGUGUCUGACUCUUGGUUUCGGCUCAGGUCCUGAUCUUGGGGUGGUGGGAUUGAGCCUCACAUUGGGCUCUACAUUCAGCAUGGAGUCUGCUUGAAAUUCUCUCUUCCUCUCCCUCUGCCCCUCCUCUCCUUGCUCCUGCCUCUAAAAUAAAUAAAUAAAUAAAUCUUUAAAAACAAAUACACGACAAACCUCUCUUAUCCUAAGAGGUGUUGGCUUUGGUGGUGGGGACUCUGGUCCACCCCUCCCACAGGGGGCCUCCAGUCAGCCCAGGCCCACUGCUUUGAGGAAGGAGAGUCCAUGACUGUGCUUUUGGCUGGCUGGGCCACUGUGGGAGCAGAGGCAACAGUGGCAGGGCUUCUGGUCAGGCCACUCUCCCCAGAGAUGCCUCUGGCCCUCCGUUUGCCCUUUUGUCAUGGGAACAGUGGAUCCCUAGGGAACUUACUGUCUACAUCUGCAAGGAAAUGGCCAGGGACACUGGGGACCAGAGUGGUGCUAGUAGAGAAGCUGGGGCCCUUUGGAUUGUUUCCCUUCACAGAGAUAAUGAUGCUCUCAUAAACUCAAAUGAAAGAAGGCGCCCCCAACUCGAAGUUUGACAGUCUCCGAAGACCUGGGGGAGGCGGGUCCUGCUCCUCCUCAUCCCUGUCUUUGUGAAAUGAGAAAUGCACUGGCUCUACUUGGAAGCUGGUCUGAGGCCACACUCACACCGUUCAUACAGGGGGUCCCUACGAAGACUGUUCUUGGCUCUUUAAAGCAGAAGACCCCCCAGGGACCAGCAGCAGGGUCAGUCAGGUUUGUGUCCUGGUCCCUCCAGCAGGCAUGGCCGUCUGUCCAGGGCAGUGUCAGGGGAUCCUGCAGCCUGAAAAUGCUUUCCCCUCCGGGCCUGAGUAAACAGAUGGGGACUCCUGGCUCUGGGUGCCCCCUGGGACCCUGUGAAGCUUGGAGGCGAGAAAUUGUACCAGGAUGGAGACAGAGAUGGAGACGGGAGGGAAGCUCCUCCAGGACAAGGAGGCUGAACUUCAGAAGGACUCACAGGAGCCAGAACUCUCAAGCCAGGCCAGUAUCCUGAGGUGUGAGCCGUCUACUCCAGCCCGAACCCCAGGGCCUCCUCUUGUGGAAAUGACCUACAUGUCGGGUUUCCAGGGACUCUCUUAUAGGAAUGCUCUUUUGUGGUUAGAUUCGAGGUAAAAGGCCCAGCUUAAAGUUUCCCUCCCAGCAAAUUCAUCCAAACCUUGUGAGUGGAAGAGGCUGUUGAAAAUGUGUCAAGAAUGAUAAAGCUCAGCCAAAAAAUGGGAACCUGAGAGAGUUCUCCUAUAUUGAUGGAGACAAUGAGGAAAAUGAGGACGUGAAUGGGGUGGGGAUUGCCUGCCUUGAACCACUGCCAGGUGCAAAUGACCUGUCCCAUGGGACUCCUUGCUGCCAGGUAUGUGCUCUGCCAAGUGAUUUAUGAAGACCGGCCUGACGGCGAGUACAUGAAUCCCUCUAACCAGACUCAAAAAAGAUCCAAGGUCUAGGAAAAGUAUUCCCUCUAAACCAGAGGUUCUCGAUGGGAGGUGGUAGGGCCUCCUGGGGACAUGUGGUCACGUCCAGGGACACUGCUGGCCGUCACAACUGGGGUUGCUGCCCACAUUUGGCAUCCAGUGACCGGGGACCCCAGCAUGGGAAGUCAUGCAGCCCCACUGGGAGGAGGGCCGUGGCUGGGGACCCUGCUUUCAGUGAAUCUUUCAGGAAAAGCAGAGUAGCAAUAUGAAUUUUGGCAGGAAGAAAUAUAGAGGGUUUUAUAGUUUUGUGUAAAAAUAUGUUUAUUAUCAAGGAAAGAGCUCCCCUCCCCCACUGAACUACCUCCUCUCAGAGUCUCUUGGAACUCAAAAAUCAUGGUUGCUCGUCUACCGUGAUGAUUUAAGGCAAAAGGAGAAUUAAUUGGUUUAAAUGUUCCAACUUGAAGGAGAGUUUUGGUUGAUGGAUGCACAUCUGCCACACAGAAGGCGCUUAAUAAAUAUUUGUAGGAUAAAUGAAGGUGUGCAAUCCUGGCUGGCAUGGGGAAAAGGCAGGAGUGUGAGAUCCAACUCCCAAUGGGGACCAGUAACCCUCCCUGCUCCCACAGCUGGACAGCGGGGUGCCAGCCCUCCCAUGGGAGGAUGCGGCAGGCCUGGAAAACCCUCUCCAAGCUCCACAGCUCCCAACUUCAGAGCAAUAAUUAAAAAAUGCUCUCUGGAGUAGGAAUUUUUAUAUUAAUGUAUUUCAGCACAAGUGCUUCCCUCUGUUAAGUGUCUUUUACAAAAGUGUGUCAUCCUUCCUCAUAGAAAGUAUUCUUAGGACAUGGUAGUUAGACCCUCUGCCUAGGGUUGUAAAAUCUCACAGGCCAGCUGAUAUCCAGGGCUCUGGUCGGGAGAGGAGGGCAGAUGGCUAAGAUGCAAAUGCAGGCAGGUCGUAAAAUCCAGUGUGUGUGUGUCUGCGUGCAUGCACAUGUAUGCACACAUGAGUGUGCAUGGAUGCUGCACGCGUGUGUACACACCUGUGCAUGUGUGUGUGUAUGCAGGUCAUAAAGAAAUGCAAAUUAUGAUCCAAAGGUUCACUACAUGGGUGGUGUGGUUAAUGUGCAUGCGUGUUCAUGCAUGUGCACGUGUGAAGGGGAGAGCUUCCCCUUCUAGGUGGCUGAUGUGGGAUCGUGCCAACCUGGAACCCUGUGGCCACGUGGAGAAGGCUCAUUUGCAGAGGGAGGGACAGAGAAGGAGGGAGACAGAAAUGCCCCAUAGCCUCUGCUUGGUCUCUGGACCCCAGCUCCCCGCUGCUGGAAACUUCCUUCCUGGGGUAAGCUGCUUUGCCUUGUCUCCACCUCUUGUAAUGGAAAGUUCUGGCCAAUAGACCUUUCCAGCAGAUCCGUACUCCUGAGGAUCUUGACGUUCACCAAGUCCUUACAUGGGUGAGCUCAGACAUUUGUAAGACGUGAGUGUUUAGAUAGCGAACCAAUUUCAGGUUGUUCGAGACAGGAAGCCGUGGGACAACUAUCGGUCGAUGAGUCCCGGAUGUGACCGCUUCUGUGAAGCGUGCCACCUAGCCGGAUGGUUUCACCAUAACGUGUGAGUCCUUGCUGGGGGCAAGCCAGUGCUGGGGCCGUACUGAGGCUGCGCUGUUGCAGUGCAGGGAGCACCUGCCAUCCGCCUCUCCAUGGGCUUGGGCCUCUCCCAGCUGUGGCCGGGUCCAGAGAGGGAGCUUCCAGGAGGAGCUGGCGUUCCAGGAGCAUCUGGUGAGGGCUGCCCGGGUUUCGGCUGAGGGAGGAAGCGGCCAGAGCCCACCCCGCUCUGGGGAGACGGACAGAGACCCCACCACCCCAAGGAAAGAGGGUCCCAGACUUCAGGGUCAUGUUUUAUUGCUGCCACACGUGAGCUCCUAAGACCUCUUCAAGCCAGGAAUGUAGCUUCGUGCAAAAAUUCCUAAGGAAGAACACACUUCUGUCCUUUGUGUCGGGGGACAGUGGGGACCAGCUCUGCAGUGCUAGGAGUGCAUGGUGACCUCUGGAGUGCACCAGGAAACCUGGAGCUCUCCAGAUCUUUACACCGCCCAGCCUUCAAGCUGGCUCCCUGCUGCCACUGAGAGAGAGUGCCGUCCAACUGUGAAAGCACUAAAAAAAAAAAAAAAA
This is a long non-coding RNA of Canis lupus familiaris (dog), 6165 nucleotides long. RefSeq lists it as uncharacterized. The transcript is spliced from 3 exons. NCBI's taxonomy places the organism in Eukaryota, Metazoa, Chordata, Mammalia, Carnivora, Canidae. The record is from RefSeq and is a predicted model, not a curated record.